UCAGAAUUAUUGCUUCACACAAAAGAUCGCUCAUGAUACAUACUCUUUUAUCUUUAUAUCCACUUACUCUCCCCCAUUCCAUUUAUAUCCUCUACCCCACACACACCAUUUUUAUUAUAGUUGUCUUAAGUAUUUCCUCUACCUAUUGAGAAUCACAUUAGACAGUAUUAUAAUUUUUGAUUCAACUAUCAAAAUUUAGAAAACCCCAAAUAAAAUCUAUUGUUUUUAUCCUAUAUAUUUACCCUAUUGUUCUUCCUUUCUUCCUGAUGUUCCAGAAUUCCUUUCAGUUCAGAAAUCUCUCUUUACUCUCUUUUAGGGUAUGUCUGCUGGCCACAAAUUCUCUUAGUUUUCUUGUGUCUGAGAAUGACUUUAUUUUCUCUUCAUUCUUGAAAGAUAUUCCCAGUGAAUAUUGAAUUCUGGGUUGCCAGUUUUUUCUUUAAGCACUUGGCAAAUGUUAACAUUCCUUUCUGGCCUCUACAGUUUCUGAUGAGAAAUCUGUGAUCAUUUACAUUGUUUUCCCCUUAGACUGUUUUCUCUCUUGUUGCUUUCAAGAUUUUUCCUUGAGCUUUUGUUUUUGAGUGUUUGAUUAGGAUGUAUAUGGGCAUGGAUUUCUUUGUCUAUUUAUUACAAACAUAUUUCCAUUUCUGUUCCUGAGUGUAACUUCAAUAGCUGCUUUAUAAUCUUUGUUAAUACCAAUGUAUUGAUCAUUCUGAGAUGAAUUCUUAUUUACUGCCUUUUCUCUUGAAUAUGGACUACAUUUAGGUAAUUCUUUGUAUGUCCACCGAUUUUUAUUGUAUCCCAGAUAUUGUGAAUGGUUGAAGAGACUCUGGGUUCUGUUACAUUCCUCUGAAGAGUACUGACUAAGGCAGAUUGAAACUGUAAACUAUUUUACUUUGUAGCAAGCAGCAACUGAAGUCUCUGCUCAGUUCUUUUAGCCUUAGGUGGACUUCUUGGAAUCUGCCCAGGAAUAUAUAGUUCAGGGUCAGUCAGAGAUGUGAAUAAGGGUUUACAUGCAGAAUUUAAGGCUCUCCUUACAGGCUUUCUUCUUCCUAGGAUUCUCCCCCUUCUUUCACGCUGUUGUGGUCUCACUGAAUUUGUCCUCUCGUUCUUCAAUCAAGUAAAACUGAGAGUUUUCUACUUAGUUUCAGCCAGGGAUCGAACCCCAUCCUCAUGGAUACUAGUCAGUUUCAUUUCCACUGACCACAAUGGUAACUCCCCAGGUAGUUUUUUCAAAUAUUUUUUCCAGGAUUUUUAGUUGUUAUCUGCAGAAAAGUUUGUCCAAUAGAAGCUACUCCUCCAUUAUCAGAAAGCAGAACUUUGAAACUUUUUUUUUAAUAAGAAAUAUGGGCUUUAUUUAUUUAUAUUUGUUUUUACAGCUGCAUCUGUGGCAUACAGAAGUUCCUGGGCCAGGGAUCUAAUUGGAUUUGCAACUGCUGGCCUACACAACAGCCACACCAGAUCCAAGCUGCACCUGAGACCUACACCACAGCUUGCAGCAAUGCUGAAUUCUUAACCCAUUGAGUGAGGCACAGAUUGAACCUGAAUCCUCACAGACACUGUGUUGGGUCCUUUACCCGCUGAGCCACAACAGGAACUCAUGCAACAUUUUUAAUUCUAAUAGCUAACAUGAAUUUCCAAGACAGAGAAGAUAAUAUGCAGUAUUUUACUAACUGGUUUUGACCAGAGAGAUUUUAUUUGUUUGUUUUAAUGGAACAGCUGCAGAAUGACUGCUUUGCUCUGAGAAAAGCUGAGCGAAAGACAGCCUUAUUCAAGGCACACUUACAACUUCUUGCCAAAUACAGACCUUGCUUAUUAUCUACUUAGAUUUAAUGCUCACCUAAUUAAAUGCUAUAGGAAACAUACCUGCUUUAAAUGCCUUGCAAUUAAAGGUGAGAAUCUGACCUUUUUUAUAAGGUGAGAAUUGUAAGGGUGAGUGAUUGUCAUCUCCACUCAUAAUGUCUGAGCAUCUAGGUUUGUGUCAGUGGACAAGAGAAAAAUUAUGAAUAUGGGACUGUAUUCUGGCAGCUUAACACUUUAAGAUGGGAAUUCAGAUGAAAAUACAAAGAUGGUACAUGUAAUAUGUAUUAUGUGAAAGCAAAGCAAGUUUUGGUUUGUUUGUUUUUUGUUUUUUGUCUUUUCAUCUUUGGCAAGAUCCAACAAUAAGAGAGGACAUGGCACUUGGGGAGAUACUAAAUAACUUAGCAUGGUGGCAGUGGCAGUAGAUUGCUGGAGGAGAGAGGAGAGAGAAGAGGCUGGGGUGAUAAGCCAACGGCUGGGUCAGAAAGGCUUUGCAUGCCAUGCCAACCCUGGUACCAUUGAAAGACAUGGGGCUUUUUUGCCUUUUUAGGGCCCACCCGAGGCAUAUGGAGGUUCCCAGGCUAGGGUCGAAUCAGAGCUGACAGUCACAGCAACUCAGGAUCAGAACCCGCAACCUACUCCACGGCUCACAGCAACGCUGGAUCCUUAACCCACUGAGCAAGUCCAGGGAUCAAACCCGAGUCCUCAUGGAUAGUAGUCAGGUUCGUUAACCAAUGAGCUACUAUGGGAACUCUGGCAAAGCAGUUUUUACACCGACUGAAAGGAACUACUACUGACCAAUUCAUUACUUUUUUCCACACUAUCAACCCACUUAUAUUUUCCCAAUGGUUUUUUGAGCAUGGGAGGGGUGGUUUUUGUUUUUUAGGGCCAUACCCACGGCAUAGGGAAGUUCCCAGGCUAGGGUCAAUCAGAGCCACAGCUGCCAGCCUAUGCCACAGCUAUAGCCAUGCAGGAUAUAAGCCGUGUCUGUGACCUAUACCACAGCUCACAGCAAUGCCAGAUCCUUAACCCACUGGGCCGGGCCAGGGAUUGAACCAAAUCCUCAUGGAUACUAGUCAGGUUCAUAACUGCUGAGCCACAACAGGAACUCCCAACUUUUUAUUUUUUAAUUUAAACCAUAGAAUAACUGAAAACUGGUAUAAUAAAUACAUAUACCCUCUAACAGAUUCAAUAAUUAUUUACAUCUGCAUUUCCCAUAUUUGCUUUCACUCUGUCUCUCCUUUCCAUCCCCACCAGUUUGUGUGUGCAUGGGUGUUUUGUUUUGUUUUCAACGAAGUUCCAGGCCAGGGAUUGAACUGCUGCCACAGCAGCGACCUGAACCAUUGCAGUGACAACACCAGAUCCUUAACCCACCGCACAAGAGCGCACCCCACCAGUCUUUAAGGUACGUUGCAGGCAUAAGACUUCAUCUACAAAUAGCUCGAAAAAUAAGUUAAUUGCACAAUAUCACCUAAUGUCCAUUUGAGAAAGUCAUGCAGAUCUUCCCCCAGAUGAUGUCUUUGGGUAAGUUAAUUUUCCUCUUUAUGAUGCCGAACUUGGCCUCUGUGCACCAGAUUGAAUCUCAGAGACAGAGUUUUGGGUGAAAUGAUAAAGAACAGCUUUCUACUUUGCCAGGCAAAACUUACAGCAGUAAUGGCCUGAACCUAGCGUAUACCCAGAUUGGGACUUGAACCCAUGGUUUUAAAUUGGAAUCCCUCACCCAGUAUCUGGACUCACCGAGGCUCAGGUUCUUCAUGUCUCUGCACAGAAGGAAUUCAGCGAGAGACAAAGUGAUAGACAAGGAAUAGAUUUAUUAGGCUAGGAUGCUUGUAAGAGGGGCACAUGGGCAGGCAAGGAAGCUCUGCCCCAAGGAUCUGGUGGGCUACAGUUAUGUCAUUCAAGGGGAGUGGGGGUCUGGAAAAGAGCACCUCAUCCUUUCUGGGAGUGCUAGCUCCUCCUUGGUAUCCAGUAAAGUGUAUAUUCAAAUCAGCAGAAGGGUGGUCCUCAAACUCCUGCCCUAGGUCUGAAUCUGAGUACAGGCUUCAUCCCAUCUCCCACCCCCAACCCCCAAACAACCAGAGGCAAUUCUCACACCUCCACUAGUCAAGCAAGCCUGCCUUGUGCUGAUGGCUUUCUUUAGCAAUUUUUAACUGAAGCUGUCUUCCAAAGUCCCCUAAGUUUCCCUUUUUAUCUGUGGUCCCUCAUCAGGACUUUAACUACCUGUGCCUACCAUAUCCCUAUCAAAGGGUUCAAGGAUGGGGUUGCUGAUAUGGAUCAGGGCGUGUGCAGGGUCUGCAUUCCUUUAGUCUAUAGAGAUCAUCUGUCCUCAGGUAGUCUCCUGAUGGGCUUCGGUGGUCUCAAGGUUAUCAAACUGUGACCUUCUCUCUGGAAUGAGCAAUGUUUCAUCAGACAGUUAUCAUCUUCCAUUUGUUGUGGGGCUUCGUUCUGCAGAAGCGCUCAAAGAUACUGUGAGGUAUAUCCCUUGAGGAGGACCCAGGACUCUGCCCCAAGGCUGUCCUUGACUGCUCCUCCUGUGUCUCUGCAUCCCCUCCCUUCCCUGAUUAGCAACUGUUUGAAUCUGCCCUUUGGAAUUCAGGGGAGGUCUUGGAGGCCGGCUGAAGGAGGCCUAUUUUCUACAAACAAGAAAUGGGGGAGAAAGUCUUUCGUGCCCAAGGCUUGUCAAC
Molecule: long non-coding RNA, 4481 nt
Filed under: Sus scrofa (pig)
Lineage: Eukaryota; Metazoa; Chordata; Mammalia; Artiodactyla; Suidae
Description: lncRNA (ENSSSCG00000050000.1)
Source: RNAcentral